GACGAACGCUGGCGGCGGGCUUAACACAUGCAAGUCGAACGGAAAGGCCCUGCUUGCGUGGGGUGCCCGAGUGGCGAACGGGUGUGUAACAUGUGAGUAACCUGCCCUGGACUUGGGGACAACCUCAGAAAACUGCUGCUAAUACCGGCUAGGAGCUCCUGCAGCAGGGUGGGGGUCGGAAAGCUUGGGCGGAUGGGGACGGACUCGGGGCUAAUUAGCUGGUGGGUGGGGUACUUGCUAACCCAGCCUUUGACGGCUAGCCCGCCUGGGAGGGUGACCGGCCACAAUGGGACUGAGAGACGGAGCAGACUCGUACGGGAGGCAGCGGUGGGGAGUAUUGCACAAUGAGCGGGAGCGUGAGGCAGCAACGCCGCGUGCGGGAUGACGGCCUUCGGGUUGUAAAGCGCAUUCGCCUGUGACGUAGCGUGAGUGACGGUAAUGGGUAAAGAAGCACCGGCUAACUACGU
RNAcentral lists this ribosomal RNA (467 nucleotides) under uncultured bacterium. RNAcentral describes it as "partial 16S ribosomal RNA". It matches the Rfam family "Bacterial small subunit ribosomal RNA", at positions 28 to 506 of the family's 1533-position model. The record is from RNAcentral.